Molecule: ribosomal RNA, 304 nt
Filed under: Pelobates cultripes (western spadefoot toad)
Lineage: Eukaryota; Metazoa; Chordata; Amphibia; Anura; Pelobatidae
Description: SSU_rRNA_microsporidia
Rfam family: Eukaryotic small subunit ribosomal RNA
Source: RNAcentral
AAUAUUGGGACAUAUAAAAAAAAGACAACUCUGUUCCUCAGAGUAGCUGUUGACAUUAUAGUUGCGCAGGCACUUUGUUGACUCUAGAGAACCUCGGGCCAAUCGCACAUCCCCAUGACGGCGACUUUGCAUUCGGAUGUCAUCCAUAUCAACUUUUGAUGCCAGUUUCUGCGCCUACCAUGGUGACCACGGGUAACGGGGAAUCAGGGUUCCAUUCCGUACAGGGACCCUGAGAAAUGGCUACGACAUGCAAGAAAGGCAGCAGGCGUGCAAAUGACCCACUCCAGACGUGGGAAGGUAGUGA